RNAcentral lists this ribosomal RNA (460 nucleotides) under uncultured bacterium. Its description in RNAcentral is "partial 16S ribosomal RNA". It matches the Rfam family "Bacterial small subunit ribosomal RNA", at positions 338 to 795 of the family's 1533-position model. The record is from RNAcentral.
CCUACGGGUGGCAGCAGUGAGGAAUAUUGGUCAAUGGACGAGAGUCUGAACCAGCCACGUAGCGUGAAGGAUGACUGCUCUAUGGGUUGUAAACUUCUUUUAUAUGGGAAUAAAAUGUUCUAUGUGUGGGAUUUUGUAUGUACCAUAUGAAUAAGGAUCGGCAGACGCGGUGCCAGCAGCCGCGGUAAUACGGAGGAUCCGAGCGUUAUCCGGGUUUAUUGGGUGUAAAGGGUGAGUAGGUGGAUUGUUAAGUCAGUUGUGAAAGUUUGCGGCUCAACCGUAAAAUUGCAGUUGAAACUGGCAGUCUUGAGUACAGGAGAGGUGGGCGGAAUUCGUGGUGUAGCGGUGAAAUGCUUAGAUAUCACGAAGAACACCGAUUGCGAAGGCAGCUGACUGGACUGCAACUGACGCUGAGGCUCGAAAGUGUGGGUAGCAAACAGGAUUAGAUACCCCAGUAGUC